CAAGACGAGCUGCAGGUCGAGGCUGGCCGCGAUGCAGAAGAUGUCCGGCGCGGCGGCUGCGAUCUCCGGCCAGAUCCGGUCGAGGAGGCGAGGCUGGAGCGAUCUAGGAGGCGCGGGAGGAGGUCCAGCGGCGGAGCUUCAACUCCAAGUACAUGGCGGUGGCGUUCCUCGCCGGUUCCGAGCGAGAUGGGGCUGCGAUGCAGACAAUGCCGGGCGCGACGACGACAAUCUCCGGCCAGAUCCGGUCUAGGAGGCGAGGCAGGGGCCGGAUCCUGCUCGGGGGAUGGCGUGGAGGCGAUCUACGAGGUGCGGGAGGAGGUCCAGCGGCGGGGCUUGAACUCCAGCGGCCCCCCUUUCGAUGGACGGGGUUGCCCACGUCGCCGGCGACUCCCCGGAGGCCGACAGGGCCUCCUCCUCCGCGUCCUCGACCGGCUCGGCCUCUCGGCGCUCCCGGCCGCACAAGGGGAUUCACCUGCGGCGGCGCCCGCGACCAUUGUCUGCUCGGAGAGGAGACGGCGGCGAAGGCGACGGCAAGGGCGCCGGUGACGACGUGCAAGGGCCUCGCGCUGCCGCUGGGGAUGUCCUUCGCGGCGGUUCUCGCCCAGGUGAGCGUCUCCUUGCGUUUUGGCUACUGCUAUUGUUCCUUAAUUGGUAGGCGCCCCACUGGACCCCCUUCCUCCCAGCCAUGCCACAUUGCCGUGCGUCAUCGGCCCACAACGCUGCACCAAGCUCCAUGAGCUAAUUGUUGAGGGUGUGCUUGGCCUGUGGUGACAAGCUCAACCAGAAUUUCAUCGAGUCCGAACUCAAGCUCGACGCCGGCAGAUUCAUCCAGCCGAACCACGGUCACCCACCCCAUAAGUUGUGUUACCUUGCAAUGGCGGAUAUGGUAAGAACCCGGCCUCUUCUCCCUUGCCUGCUCCGACAGCGGUGUUCUGGGCAUCCAUGACCAUGGCAGAAAGUCUCAAAGGAGGCGCCGGCGAGCACAAGGCGCUGCUGCCACCAUCUCUGGAGACUGGCACAACGCAGUGGCUACAAGGGUCCAAGUUGCGUGUGUAGCAGAAGGACACCGAUGGGAAGAAGACCAAUCCAUUUCUCUGGGAAAUAAUCCGAUGGUUUGCUCUUUUCAGUCUUGAGGAUGAGUUGAUUGACAACAAUAAGAUGGGGAGGGGAAGCAUCGGAGGUAAAGAUGUGCAAGGAUGAUAACUCAAGGAGAGGACUGGUAUGCCACGUGAAACAUUACAACAAGAGGAUUGACCUACAAGAGAAAAAACAAGGAGAUGGGGACAUCUAGCAAUCAGCAGCGUGGCGAGGAGGAUGGUGGUGUCACCUGACAUGAAUAGUGGUAAACAAGUUGAUGUAGUUAGCCACGUGUUCCUUACUAUUUAGGCUUGGGAAUUGGGACUUGCCAAAAAGCUGUCGCGUCUAUGUUUGCUAAUGUUUUCAGUCCAUUGGUGUUUCCCUCAUUAUCAUCUCGCGGACUUUGGAUCUCUAUCAAUACAUGAAUUCAGUUUCUACAAGUUCUUACAGUAUUUCUGUAGUUCUUUGCAGGGGAUUUUUGUUCAUGCAUGACUCAUGGUACAAUAAGAAUUAUCUGUAAUUCAUGGACAGUAGGAGUUUUCUGCCUGGUAGUAAUUACUCAAAUAACAUCUUUUUCCAUGCUUUCUCUUCUUAUUUUUUUAUGUUUAAUUAUUUAUUUGAUCAGCAACCUACAUGAAGUACUUUCCAGAGCAGCCAUUCUGGAGUCUCUUAUACCAUUAACGAAGUUCUAUUCAUAGAUGAUAAACCCUGUUCCAGAGCACCCGCUACGAGCUUCAUGUAUGUUGUUGAUUCAUAAGACAUUCACUUGGGAGCAGGUGAUGUGGUUCUUGGAACGCUUCCUUUAGCAUGGGAAUUUAUACGCCAUGGAGUUAAUUAAUAUAUAAAUUUAAAUAUAAAAAUAAGAAGAAAAAGAUAAAUUUUGGUAGGUUUGCUCGACAUUGUAGUUUGAAUUAAAGAACACAUGUUUUUGCUGUUUGAACAUAUUGAAUCAUGAGCUGGCAAAAAGCAAUAUAUAGCAUGCUCAUAAUAAAUUUAAUUUACAUUUCUGUUCUCUUCCAUGGACAAUUAUAGACUUCAGACUAGAUCGAGAAAUUACAUUUUAUUGGUGUCACCAGAAGGUCCAGAACUGAUAGAAAUACGACCUUUUACAGUUUGAGCAACCUUGUGAAAUAACCAUUUAACGAUUACUCUUUCUACUGCUACUAAGAUGCUUAGCAUAAGCCGAUAAAAUAAUACUAGGUACUUCUGGUUAUAAGUUCGUCGCCGGCUUUGAUGAUGUUAAGGCUUGAGCAAUGUUGUGAAAUAACCAUUUGGUGAUUCAUUUUUCUACUGCUACUCAGGUUCUUAGCAUAAACUGUAUAAUUAAAUGCCGAUUAUAUUGGUAGUUCUGGUUGCAAAUUGGAUGUAGGCUUUGAAUGAUGUUAUGGCUAUUGAACUUCCAGAAAUUGUAGCUGAGUCUGCAAAGGUAUAGAAUGAAUGGAAAAUUUAUUCUCCUUAGACAUCCUAGCAUAUCCACCGAUGGAUCUAACUUCUGAUUUAUUGUUUGUUAUGUAUCACAACAAUAUAGUAUCCUUCUGAAAGAUGCAGACGCAGGAAGAUUUAUAGUUGAUGGUAUGGCUAGCAUCCAAAUUGAUACACCAGCCCUAAUGUCUGUUUCAAAUGCAAUGCUCUAAUUUUGUGUCGAAUCCAAGCUGCAAGUUUUCUUUAUUUAAUACUAGAAUAUGUUAUUCAUGAUUAGUAAAAUCAUUGCAGCCAAUAGUCUAGGAAAGCAGUCGGGUCGGUGUUAUUACGUGUAGUUUGCAAUUUGUCGCUGUAAUAAUCUAUAGCUGCUAGCAUACCCACUUUAUCGCGCAGCCAUGAGUUUUACCCUGGUACAAAUGAUAGAAUCAUAAUGGUCUCUCGACUGUUUGACGAAGUAGUUAAGGCCAUGGAGUUGGUUCUGGAGAAACUAUUAUCAGAAGUAAAACAAUUUGUUUUGCAAAUGGUCAUGUCUGUAGGACCAUGUUGCCAUUGUUUGAUAACUGAUAUUCUCCUGUUAUUUUCCAGGGUGAAGAAUCCAAUGAAGCUGAAGCUAGGCCUAAAUUUAGACUUGUAGUUCCUAAUAGCUCUUGCGGUGGAAUUAUUGGUAAAGAAGGAGCAACAAUCAAGUCAUUCAUUGAAGCUUCAGCGACCCAUAAAACCCGGGAAGUGAAGCCCUCUUCAAUCCUCUACCUCUCUCGCUGUUGUGUCCAGCCUGCUGCCUGCCUGCUGUGUUGCCUCAAAGAAGGGUCGGGGGCACUUGAUGUGGAGGAUGGCGACAAGGAGAAGUGAGGAUUUCGUGAGGACAGAAACAACGGGAGAGAUAAAACAUACUCCUCUGGUGCAUUGAAUUUAGACUGUUUGAUAUUCUGCUGCUGGUCAAUUCAGUUUCCGUGCUCCGGUUUCAUGACGGGAGUUGUCCGUCAGGGGGUAAGUUGUAGGCGCACACAAGCGCGCAUGUGCUCGUGCAUCUCGGUGUGUGGACACGGGAUGCUCUCUGCAGUUCAGAGUAAGAGCGAUCAUAUAUGGCUUGAGAUAUUGCAUAGGAAAAGGAUCUACCAGAUCAUCAAUGCAACACAGGACAUCUGAAUUUAACCUUAUCUUUCUCUUUUCUUUUGAAAGGGAUAGAGGAGUGGAAAGGCGUACUGCUUGAUCAGAAACUAAGGAGUUUGCAUCAUUAUUAGCUGCCAGUAUAGCUUACUUUGAGCUUAACCACAUACCUGAUUGUUGUGUAUGAAAGCACAAUCCUAUCAAAUACUCUUCUUUUUUGCUUGGGUGUUC
Triticum dicoccoides is the source of this 3837-nucleotide RNA transcript. RefSeq lists it as uncharacterized. The record is from RefSeq and is a predicted model, not a curated record. The transcript has 3 exons. Lineage: Eukaryota; Viridiplantae; Streptophyta; Magnoliopsida; Poales; Poaceae.